GAUGAACGCUGGCGGCGUGCCUAAUACAUGCCAGUCGAGCGAACGGACUAGAAGCUUGCUUCUCUGAUGUUAGCGGCGGACGGGUGUGUAACACGUGUAUAACCUACCUAUAAGACUGGGAUCACUUCGGGAAACCGUAGCUAAUACCGGAUAAUAUUUUGCACCGCAUUGUUCAAAAGUGAAAGACGGUCUUGCUGUCACUUAUAGAUGGAUCCGCGCUGCAUUAGCUAGUUGGUAAGGUAACGGCUUACCAAGGCAACGAUGCAUGACCGACCGGAGAGAGUGAUCGGCCACACUGGAACGGAGACACGGUCCAUGCUCCUACGGGAGGCAGCAGUAGGGAAUCGUACGCAGUGGGCGAAAGCCUGACGGAGCAACGCCGCGUGAGUUACGAAGGUCUUCGGAUCGGAAAACUCUGUUAUGAGGGAAGAACAUAUGUGGAAGUAACUGUAGACAUCUUGACGGUAACUAAUCAGAAAGCCACGGCUAACUACGUG
RNAcentral lists this ribosomal RNA (497 nucleotides) under uncultured bacterium. RNAcentral describes it as "partial 16S ribosomal RNA". It matches the Rfam family "Bacterial small subunit ribosomal RNA", at positions 28 to 507 of the family's 1533-position model. The record is from RNAcentral.